UAACGCGUGAGUAACCUGCCUUUCAGAGGGGGACAACAGUUGGAAACGACUGCUAAUACCGCAUAACGUAUCUGUAUCGCAUGGUAUGGAUACCAAAGAUUUAUCGCUGAGAGAUGGACUCGCGUCUGAUUAGCUAGUUGGUAGGGUAACGGCCUACCAAGGCGACGAUCAGUAGCCGGACUGAGAGGUUGGCCGGCCACAUUGGGACUGAGAUACGGCCCAGACUCCUACGGAAGGCAGCAG
This 243-nucleotide ribosomal RNA is filed under the name uncultured bacterium. Its description in RNAcentral is "partial 16S ribosomal RNA". It matches the Rfam family "Bacterial small subunit ribosomal RNA", at positions 111 to 354 of the family's 1533-position model. The record is from RNAcentral.